Molecule: ribosomal RNA, 519 nt
Filed under: uncultured eukaryote
Lineage: Eukaryota
Description: SSU rRNA
Rfam family: Eukaryotic small subunit ribosomal RNA
Source: RNAcentral
AGGGCACCACCAGGAGUGGAGCCUGCGGCUUAAUUUGACUCAACACGGGAAAACUCACCCGGCCCGGACACUGAAAGGAUUGACAGAUUGAGAGCUCUUUCUUGAUUCAGUGGGUGGUGGUGCAUGGCCGUUCUUAGUUGGUGGAGCGAUUUGUCUGGUUAAUUCCGAUAACGAACGAGACUCUAGCCUACUAAAUAGAUCGCCGGUUUACAAACACCGGUGAGACUUCUUAGAGGGACAGGCGGCGAUUCAGCCGCACGAAACAGAGCAAUAACAGGUCUGUGAUGCCCUUAGAUGUCCGGGGCCGCACGCGCGCUACACUGAAGUGAUCAGCGUGCAUUUUAAGCCUACUCUGCCAAGAGUGGGAAACCCAAUGAACCUUCUUCGUGAUUGGGAUAGGGGAUUGUAAUUAUUCCCCUUGAACGAGGAAUUCCCAGUAAGCGCGAGUCAUAAGCUCGCGUUGAUUACGUCCCUGCCCUUUGUACACACCGCCCGUCGCUACUACCGAUUGAAUGAUUU